GGUUUCAAACCUGCAGUCUCACCUGGCAUGCCUAAGGGAGCCCUCAGACACAAACAAGUCACUUCUCCCCAUCCUGAAAAACAGAGUGAAGCCUCUGUCAGGCUGUUCUCCCCUGAAAAGAGGGAAAGGCGAGAAAAUCAGGGAGGGACCACCAGACCAGAUGUUUUAACCCCAGGGUGAAUGUUGUCACUAAGAAAUGUGGUGGUAACUGAUAAGGAUUGAAAGGGGGGUCAAAAGCCCCCAAAUUUAGUAUAAAUAACAGAGCAAAGGAACAGACAUUCAGCCAGCCAAAACAAGGAUGCACCCAAGCUGGAGAGUCUGAUGAGGAUCUGGACUGACAUCUCAUCACUUGUCAUCUUGUGCCUGAUCCUUACCGCUCUCCAACUCUACAGCCACAUCUUGACCCUGGUGAGAGCAGCAACUUCUCCCUGUUUCACCCUCUUCUCAGCCGGCCGUCAGCUCCAUUCCAGGAGAAGCCUGCCUUGGUUCCUGACCUGAUCACCACUGUCUGAGUGAGUGUGUAUCUGCUGGACAUAAAGCCUAAGGCUUCAGACUUUUGAACUUAGCAUGCAGAGGGAAUGUCUGUCAUUAGCCUGUCAUGAUUAAGUGUGUUUUCAGUGCUUAGAAUUAAUCUAGAAUCGUUUGCCGUGAAUUGAUUAUGUCUAUUGCAGUGCCUAGCAUGAACGAUGGUCGUCUUCUUUAUUCAGAACCUAUAGAGUGAAAUUUUAUUGAGUGAUUCUAGUGAAUAAAGCAUUGAAAAGGGCAGAAGUGCAGGGACAUUCUUUAUUUCUCCCCCUCGACUGCAUAUGUUGCAACUUUGCCCCUCGCGACAAGGAGGAAAUGGCUUUUGAAAUUCUAGAUCUCCAAGACACAAAAACUCAUGGGUUUUCCAAACUUACUGAAGAGGAUGUAACCUUGUACUUUUUGAAACUGUCCCCUGUUGUAGAGUCCUCACUUAAAUUCCAUGGGUCUCAUUUAGUAAGUGGUGUUACUUGCAUGAUUAAGAAAGAACUUGGGUUGGGGCUAUGGCUUAGUGGUAGAGCAUUGGUCCAGCUUGCACAAGGCCUUGAGUUCAAUCCCCAGCACUGCAAAAAGUAGAAAGAGUUCAGUCUAUCAACGUUGAUGCUACAAUGGAUUGUGCAUGCGGUGUGUGUGCACAUGCACACAUGUGUUUCAAACAUGAACUUCACUCACAUAAGUGUAAGUUAACAGGUGUAUAAGUUAACCUCAUUGUCCCUCCAGAAAGUGUCAGAAAGAGUUGAAAUAAUAGUAAAUCUAAAUAGCCUUUGAAGUUCAACCGUCUUAUACUUGAUAUUAAAAUAGUAAAAUGCAUGUUAAUAAAGAACUUAAUUCAACGGGUAGGCAUUAAAAAACCAUAGUUGUGAAUAAUAUUUAUGAAUGUGGGAAAAUAUUCACAGUGUAACAGUCAAAUAAAAUUGUGCCUAUGCAGGACCUAUAUAAAGGAAACAAAAGCAAUACAAUAAAAAAAUUUCUGAUAAACAUAAAAAUUAAAAUAACAAAAAUAUUACCACUUAAAUUGAUAAAUUGAAUAAUAAUACAAUGAAUAAUAAUACAAAAUUUUAGUUUUAUCUAGUGAAUCAUAAGUUCCAUAGAAUUUAUUUUUUUUUAUUUUUAUUUUUUAUUAGUUGCUCGAGACAAUACAAUGAUCUUGACAUAUCAUACAUUUGAUUCAAAUGGGGUAUUCUCAUUUUUCCACGUGUACAGAUUGCAGGAUCACAUUGGUUAUACAGCCACGUAUAUACAUACAAUACUAGUGUCUGUUGUAUUCUGCUGCCCUCCCUAUCCCCCCUCCCUUCCCCUCCCCCAUAUCACCUCUCUCUACCCAAUCUACUUUGACACAUUUCUCUCUCUCACUCUUUUUUCUUUCUUUCCACCUCACACCAACAUAUAUGUAUUUUGUAUAACGAUGAGGGUCUCCUUCCAUCUUCUGUGCAGGGUAAUUGCACAGGAGUUCUAUAGAAUUUCAAUGCCACUUUUUAAUUUAAAUGAAUGAUUAAAACUGUUACCUUGUGGGGUGCAGUGGCACACGCCUGUAAUCCCAGCGGGUCGGGAGCUGAGUCAGGAGGAUUUUGAGUUCAAAGCCAGCCUCAGCAAAAGUGAGGCUCUAAGCAACUCAGUGAGACCCUGUCUCUAAUUAAAAUACAAAAUAGGGCUGGGGAUGUGGCUCAGUGGUUUGAGUGUCCGUGAGUUCAGUCCCCAUUACCCUAAAAAAAAAUAAAUAAAAGUGGAACAAUCAAUAUAUCAAAUUUGUGACAAAGCCUCUCUGAAUAUGUAUAUUGCUUCUUAAAUAUCAGUUAUACCAUGGAAUUUAAAGUAUGUUUACAAGCAUUUUAUGUUGGCAUCCCCCCAUCAACACAAGGUAGUGAACUCAGGACCUUGUGCAUGCUGGGCAAGCACUCUGCCACUGAGCCACAUCCCCAGCCCUUCUUACUUUUAUUUUGAGAAGGGUCUUGCUAAGUUACCCAGGCUGGUCUUGACCUUGCCCUCCUCCUGCCUCGGCCUCCCCCACUGCAUCCAGCCCAGUUCAUAGCUUUGGAAAGUUGAUCCCAUUGAAAGAGUCUUUCAUAUGUAGGUUGUUUCCUAUUAGAUCAUCCACAACAGUGGACUCAGCCUCCCUUUUCCUUCAACACCAUUUCCUAAGAAAGGGGCCACCAUGAGCCAAAGUCAGCUGCCUUUGAAGCAAUUUAGUUGAUACUUUCAUAGUUCCUGGCCUUGAAAAGAGGCUGAAAGAAUUGGAGGUUUUCCUGAAGUUCAUAAUCAGCAGACAUUUCCAAAGUUUGUAUCCUCGUUUCAGCCUCAUCCUUAAGGUAGCGAGCCAGUUCAGCCAAGUAACUUCUUAUGUUGUAUUUCACCAUUUCUAAGACACUUUAGUGUCUCUGACCCUGGAAUGUGUCUUAGAGUCAGCGUUAAACUAUUUCAAAGUUCAACCCACAGUGUUUUCUUUCCUGUGGUACAUUGAUUACGAUGGGGUAUAUUGAGGUAUAUAGUUGCAAAUUCUUUUCAAGGUUAUCUCAGUUAACUCUCCUAAUAACCCUGUGAAAUAGGAGGAUAAAGUCUUAUUUCCAUGCCGUUCUUGAGGAAAUGCUCCGGAUGGAGGUUUCAUUUGGGGAGUUUGCUUCUGUGCCUACAGACUGGAGGUGCUGGGCCCCUCACCAAGCCUGUGUGGCUGAGCCAGCAGGUCCUCGUCCUCUACCUCAGAGUUUUCUUCAGCUGUCCUAUUGGUGAGGCAUUUUGUCUUUUAGGUAAGAAAUGUUUUCAGUAUGACAGCCAAAGAGGGAAGGAAGAGAUGGGUCCUUGUCCUGGUGGCUGUGGGGGAUGGGCAGGGAGCUGCAGGUGAGUGGGGUGACUCUGGACACAGAGGUGGUGGUGUGCAGAGGCCUGGCUGCCCCCCUGGGAGCCCGGGGCCCUGCUGCUGGCCUCACUUUCCCCCUCACUGAGCGUCUAGAGGUCUGGGCUCACAAACCUUGUGGUAAACCACAAAGCUUCUCAGCGUAAAGAAAGAAGAGCUCCAAGGCCUACAUCUGAGGACAGUGGGUAUUUUAAAAGGGUUAAGUCACCAUUGUAUUGUGUAUAAUAGUGAAAAAUUAGAAGAGCAAGUCCAAUCUGGCCCAGUUACAAAAACAGGAUAGCUGUCCAAUGUAAUAUUCUAUAGCUUGUGAAAAAAUCACUUACAUAAUAAGUAAUUACUUAAGUAAUUACUGUUAAAAAUGUGUCAGUACUCUUGAUUUUUUAAAGUCAUUUAUAUGUUAAGGAAAAUCUAGUAGACUAUACACUGUUAAGUGUUUAUGUGGGUUAGUAGGUUUGCCAAUCAUUUAAAUUUUCUUCUUUAGACGUUUCUUUAAAGUAUCCCUCGUGAACAUCUUGUUUGUGAUAUAUAUUCACAUGGAACUGAAAAACCAUAAGUUGCUUCAUACUGACACUUUCAAAGCAAAAGUAAUACACAUGAUAGUGCGUUGGUGUAAGAAAUCAUGGUUAGCAGUUACUGUUGUCUCUUUCCCAAAAUAUCUUUUCAGAAAUUUUGUGUCCAGCUAUCACCCUUAACCUUGUAAAAAGCUUCACCAAGACGUCAUGUUACAGCCGUGAGUUCGCACCUUGCCCUUCUUGCUUGGUUUUGCCCUCAGUGAUCUUGGGUUAGCAUAAGCAGAUUCCCCUCUGUUCUGGUACUGGUUGUCUAGUGUCCCUGUGUAUGCACAGACCUGAUUUUUGUUACCUGCUCCCUAUUGCUGAAUAUUUUUUGUUUGCAAAUUUGUGUCAUUUAUUUUAAAAAAAUGAACUUUUUGUACAUAGAUUGUUGAACUUUUGCAAAUAUAGCAAUAGGGGAAAUGUCUUGAAAUUGCUUGAAAUAUCUUGAAAUUGCUGCCAUACUAGGUUUAAAUGUCAAGUAUUGCCAAAUCACCUCCUCAAAGGUUGCAUCAGUUUAUGUCCCUCUGUACCACCCGUCCUUGCCCUGAGUAUUAUCAGACUUUACUGAUUGUCAUCUUGGUCCCUGAAACAUCUCUCCUAGUUUCACCUGCACUUUCUAAGUUAGGAGAGUGCAGACACCAUUUUUGUGUUCAUUGGCCAUUGCGCUUUCACUUUGGACAUCUGUCAGUUGAGGUGCUUUGCCCAUUUUUUUAAUUGGGUGGUUUCUUUUCCUUGUUGAUUGGGAUAAGCUUCUUGUAAGUUAAGGACAUGAGCCUUCUGUCUAUCAGAUAUAUUGACUUCGUUCUUAAUUUUUUUUUUCACACUAAAGUUUUAAAAUCCACAGAAGUUUUAAACCUUAAUAUAGCAAAUUUAUCAGUCCUAGAUCACUUCUGGUUUGUGUUUUGCUUAGAAAGCCUCCUUUUGAAGAUUAUAUAUUUCCCUCUAGGACUUCCAUGGUUUACUUUGUUCUGUUUAAACUAGGAACUGGAAUUCAAGCCCCUUUCAUCCCAGGCCUCAGAUGUCUUGCGUAUUUUAUUUUCCUGUGUAUAACUUAAAAACACAGUACUUUUCCCAAAUUAAAUAAUAACUGAUGGCAGCAAAUAAUGGAAGCAUUUCUGCAACUUGGGAUGAACCCUCAUUUCUUGGGAUUAAGCAUUUACAAAUUGCAAACUGUUGCUUUUAUUUUCCUGGUUAAUUAAAAUCUAAAUACCACUCAAAGUUCCAUUAAUAUCAUGGUUUUACUCUAUAGCAAUGUACUUUUUCCCUAUCCCUCUGGGCAUUUGAAUCUCUUUCCACAAGUGUCCAAAACCAUUUGCCUCUUGUAAAUAUAGAGCAUACUUAAUUUUAAAAAUUGAGUAUAUUUCAUUAUAUUAGAGAUUUAUAAAAGAUAAUGUUAUGCAUCUAAACUUGGGUUUCAUAAAUACAUCCAAAUGUAAUGCCUCCAGAUUGCCUCAGAACAGAUAAGCAGGUCUCUGGCUUUCUUCAUGGCUGGUUGUGUAUGCAGGUGUUCUGUGGGCAGUUGAAAGGAGAAGUGCGUGAAAUGUUGUAGGAGCCCAAACUGUGAGCUGGGGAGAGGCACAGGCUGGGCCAGUUUUUUCCCUUUUCAUAGUUUGGAUUUUUCUUUGAUGGUUUUGCUGUUGGGAAGGCCACCAAGUGGGUGAAUUUUUUUCCUUAUUGUCACGCAGUAGAUGAUGAUGAGCUCUGUGUUAGCCACCAGGGCACCACAGGCAGACAGUCACGUGUCCCAGAACCCUCUACUGGUCCUUGUGCUCAGAGCCUGUGUAUCUUGUGAGAUGCCAUUCAGACCACCACUGUUGGUCAGACUCAUGGCCACUCACUAGAAUCAUGAGAUGGCUGUGAGCAACACUAAGGAACAGUCAGUGUGCAUGUGAUGAUGGUACUGUGGCUACCUGUUGUAAGUCUUUAUCUUUUAGAAGUAUAUAGAAAAAAUUUUGCUUAAAUGGAAUUUCUUUUCUUUUUUCUUUUUUAUUAUUAUUUUUAUUUGUUCUACUUAGUUGUACAUGACAGCAGAAUGCAUUCCAAUUCACCGUACCAAAAAUGGAGUGCAACAUUUCAAUUUUCUGGUUGUACACGUUGUAGAGAGGUACCAUUUGUGCAGUAUUACAUGUACCUAGGGUAAUGAUGUCCAUCUGAUUUCACCAUCUUUCCUAGCCCCCAUAAGCCUUCCCCACUCUCCCCUUUUGCCCUAUUCAAAGUUUCUCCACUUUCCCAUGCCUGCCCCUCCAAUCAUAGAUCAGCAUCCGCUAAUCAGAGAAAACAUUUGGCCUUUAGUUUUUGGGGAUUGGUUUACUUUGCUUAGCAUAAUAUUCUCAACUCCAUCCAUUUACCUGCAAAUGCCAUACUUUUAUUCUUCUUUAAUGCUGAGUAAUAUUCCACUGUGUAUAUUACCACAGUUUCUUUAUUCAUCUAUUGAUGGGCAUCUAGGUUGGUUCCACUGUUUAGCUAUUGUGAAUUUAGCUAUUAAAAACACAGCCACACUGGUGUGGCUGUGUCACUAUAGUAUGCUGAUUUUCAGUCCUUUGGAUAUAGACUGUCCUCACCCUGUCGAUCCAGUUUACCACCAAGG
RNAcentral lists this long non-coding RNA (6511 nucleotides) under Marmota monax (woodchuck). Lineage: Eukaryota; Metazoa; Chordata; Mammalia; Rodentia; Sciuridae. The record is from RNAcentral.